AUGAACGCUGGCGGCGUGCCUAAUACAUGCCCGUCGAGCGAACAGAUGAGGAGCUUGCUCCUCUGACGUUAGCGGCGGACGGGUGAGUAACACGUGGAUAACCUACCUAUAAGACUGGGAUAACUUCGGGAAACCGGAGCUAAUACCGGAUAAUAUAUUGAACCGCAUGGUUCAAUAGUGAAAGACGGUUUUGCUGUCACUUAUAGAUGGAUCCGCGCCGCAUUAGCUAGUUGGUAAGGUAACGGCUUACCAAGGCAACGAUGCGUAGCCGACCUGAGAGGGUGAUCGGCCACACUGGAACUGAGACACGGUCCAGACUCCUACGGGAGGCAGCAGUAGGGAAUCUUCCGCAAUGGGCGAAAGCCUGACGGAGCAACGCCGCGUGAGUGAUGAAGGUCUUCGGAUCGUAAAACUCUGUUAUUAGGGAAGAACAAAUGUGUAAGUAACUAUGCACGUCUUGACGGUACCUAAUCAGAAAGCCACGGCUAACUACGUG
RNAcentral lists this ribosomal RNA (496 nucleotides) under uncultured bacterium. RNAcentral's name for it is "partial 16S ribosomal RNA". It matches the Rfam family "Bacterial small subunit ribosomal RNA", at positions 29 to 507 of the family's 1533-position model. The record is from RNAcentral.